RNAcentral lists this non-coding RNA (191 nucleotides) under Sphingomonas sp. Lineage: Bacteria; Pseudomonadati; Pseudomonadota; Alphaproteobacteria; Sphingomonadales; Sphingomonadaceae. The record is from RNAcentral.
AUGACCGAUCACGCGACAGGUUCCCCUUGACCGGGGAUUGAAAGGGAACGGGGUUCGAAACCCCGGCUGCCCCUGCAACUGUGAGCGGCGAGCCACCGUGCCACAUGCCAUUGGGAUCGACAUCCUGAGAAGGCGGCACGGAGCGGCAUUGACCCGCAAGCCAGGAGACCUGCCCGUCGCGGUCGUCCUUC